Molecule: microRNA precursor, 75 nt
Filed under: Choloepus hoffmanni (Hoffmann's two-fingered sloth)
Lineage: Eukaryota; Metazoa; Chordata; Mammalia; Pilosa; Megalonychidae
Description: miRNA (ENSCHOG00000015160.1)
Source: RNAcentral
CCGACCGUGGGUGCCCCGUGCCCACCACCCCUGGCGGGCUCCUGUGGGCUCAGAGCAGCCACAGGAGGAAGGGCG